RNAcentral lists this transfer RNA (76 nucleotides) under Clostridiales bacterium. RNAcentral's name for it is "tRNA-Thr". It matches the Rfam family "tRNA". Rfam says of the family: Transfer RNA (tRNA) molecules are approximately 80 nucleotides in length. Their secondary structure includes four short double-helical elements and three loops (D, anti-codon, and T loops). RNAcentral also lists the same sequence under 1 other name. Lineage: Bacteria; Bacillati; Bacillota; Clostridia; Eubacteriales. The record is from RNAcentral.
GCUGUUAUAGCUCAGGCGGUAGAGCGCAUCCUUGGUAAGGAUGAGGUCGGCGGUUCAAUUCCGCCUAACAGCUCCA